AUACGUAGGGAGCAAGCGUUGUCCGGAUUUACUGGGUGUAAAGGGUGCGUAGGCGGCUUAGCAAGUCAGGCGUGAAAACUAUGGGCUUAACCCAUAGACUGCGUUUGAAACUGUUGAGCUUGAGUGAAGUAGAGGUAGGCGGAAUUCCCGGUGUAGCGGUGAAAUGCGUAGAGAUCGGGAGGAACACCAGUGGCGAAGGCGGCCUACUGGGCUUUAACUGACGCUGAGGCACGAAAGCAUGGGUAGC
Molecule: ribosomal RNA, 247 nt
Filed under: uncultured bacterium
Lineage: Bacteria
Description: partial 16S ribosomal RNA
Rfam family: Bacterial small subunit ribosomal RNA
Source: RNAcentral